UAUGUGAACCUUUUACAUUUUGAAAAUUGCAAAGACUCCUGCUGUGCUGUUUCUUUUGAGAAGCCGGCUGGUUAAAUGAUCAAGUCAUUAUUGGGAAUUUGGAUCUAAGUGACCUGGCAGAAACCAUGGAGAUGAUCUUGCCAUGUUUACACUGCAUCCACAGAUUGUGAUACUGUUUAUGAAGGAGAGAAAAAGUCCUUCCAUUUAUUCUUGUUCUUAAUGAAAAUUUCUGAGCUGUUAUGCUUUGAAAUUACAAUGAUAAAGUGGCUCUUUGAGAAUAAAAGAUUCAAUAUAUUACAAUUGAGAAUAAAAGAUUUAAUAUAUUACAAAGCCAGCUUGUAUAUUGGACAGUGAGGUAGGAAAGAAAUCCAUUCCGAAGUGGCAGAGAAGCUGCUUUUUCCUCCUGCAUGCUGCCUGCUAGUGUGGAUCUUGGCAUAACAGACACUACUUGACAAAAGGUAAGUGUACCAAAGUAAAAACUAUACUCUUGGUGAAUUCAUUCAUUCCUAAUAAAGACUUAGGUCUCUUUUCCUGCAAAUAUUGUCACUAAGUGAGUAUGAAGAGGUGCCUUCUUAUUUUUGGACAUCAUGGGAGGUGGGAUUAGGGAGCAAGAGGUGAGAAUGGGUGACUAUCACCACUCUUGUUGCUAAGGGCCAGAUUGGUUCAUCUCUGCCUCUUCUGUGCAUGUAAAUAAAUGCAGUUCCCUGGGAGCCUAUGUUAGGUUCAGGGCCAAAAAAUU
Molecule: long non-coding RNA, 739 nt
Filed under: Rhinopithecus bieti (black snub-nosed monkey)
Lineage: Eukaryota; Metazoa; Chordata; Mammalia; Primates; Cercopithecidae
Description: lncRNA (ENSRBIG00000046177.1)
Source: RNAcentral